Long non-coding RNA from Trematomus bernacchii (emerald rockcod), 1141 nucleotides. RefSeq lists it as uncharacterized. The record is from RefSeq and is a predicted model, not a curated record. Lineage: Eukaryota; Metazoa; Chordata; Actinopteri; Perciformes; Nototheniidae. The transcript has 2 exons.
ACCUACCUGUUUCAUCUACUUGAAGGCAUUGAACUCCCAAAGUCUCAGGAUCCAAAGUUUGCAGGACGAGUCCAGUGGGACAAAGACGUCCUCACAGAAGGACGCCUCACACUUCAUGUCUCCAGACUCAGGACCAGUGACUCUGGGUUUUAUCGGUGUGACAUACGCGUCAUACCUGGUGGGAAUAACUCUAGGGGAUGCUGGCUCAACGUCAUUGCUGCUGCUGAGCUCCAAACUCAGAGACCAACAGAGAGACACAGAUACAUCUUGAUCUACGUUGUACUGGCAGUUACAGUAACUCUACUGUCUCUCUCUGCCGCUGUCUGCAAACCGCGGCUCACCAAAUAUCUUUGUAGGAAAAUAAACAACAGUGAAGUGGAACUGAGGAUGAGUUCCUCAGAUAUUGAAGCCCCAGGGACCAUUGAAAAUGAGUCUGAAACACCCUUUUUGAAUGAACCAUCGGAGCACAAUAAAACAAGACAGAGGGUCUCAUCAGGUAGUGAAUUAUUUAGCCAGUAGAUGUCACUGUUCUACACGUAAAUACAUAUUUAUCCCAGAUUUAUCCUUAGUAUUUAUCGUCUUCGGUGCUAAGGUGUGUGUUGGAAGGAAUUCUCUGGAUGACGUCCAUCAAGCAGUGAAAGAGGAAUGAGGAAAUACCUGUUUGGCUAUAAAGGGAACUAAAAUGUACUGCGUUGCUAAAAAAUAGACAACUAUGAUGAUUCACUUCUAAAAGUUGUGACAACCAGCCGAUAGAAACAUAAACAAACGCCUCCUGCGGAGAUUUGUGUCAUAAAGUUUGUUAAUUCUCAGUUUCUCUGACGCUGUGUUCCUGUGUUAUCCUUGAUGCAUUUCGCUGCUGUUGAUGUUUCUGUUUAUUUUGCAUUUCUUCAGUCAUUUUUUGUAGUUUUAUCUGGUCUCCUCUGGGUACGCUUUUGGCCCUUUUUGGUCAUUUUGUUGCUCUCUUUUUUGUUACUAUGUCCCUUUUUUAUGAUGUGUGAAUCUUGUAAUUGCUUAUCGACUUUUCUCGGUACUUUUGCUUCUCUUUUAGGUUAUUUUGUAACUUAUGUCGCACCUUUUGUGGGUAUUUCAGAAGGGGCAGGUCAAAUAAGAUUUUCUUCUCCCUGCUCCUUUCCACCAUUAA